UUAGGGUCGUAAAGCUCUUUCGCCUGUGAUGAUAAUGACAGUAGCAGGUAAAGAAACCCCGGCUAACUCCGUGCCAGCAGCCGCGGUAAUACGGAGGGGGUUAGCGUUGUUCGGAAUUACUGGGCGUAAAGCGCGCGUAGGCGGAUUAGAAAGUUGGGGGUGAAAUCCCGGGGCUCCACCUCGGAACUGCCUCCAAAACUGCUAGUCUAGAGUUCGAGAGAGGUGAGUGGAAUUCCGAGUGUAGAGGUGAAAUUCGUAGAUAUUCGGAGGAACACCAGUGGCGAAGGCGGCUCACUGGCUCGAUACUGACGCUGAGGUGCGAAAGUGUGGGGAGCAAACAGGAUUAGAUACCCUGGUAGUCCACACCGUAAACGAUGAAUGCCAGUCGUCGGGUAGUAUACUAUUCGGUGACACACCUAACGGAUUAAGCAUUCCGCCUGGGGAGUACGGUCGCAAGAUUAAAACUCAAAGGAAUUGACGGGG
Molecule: ribosomal RNA, 483 nt
Filed under: uncultured bacterium
Lineage: Bacteria
Description: bacterial SSU rRNA
Rfam family: Bacterial small subunit ribosomal RNA
Source: RNAcentral